Molecule: long non-coding RNA, 700 nt
Organism: Suricata suricatta (meerkat)
Lineage: Eukaryota; Metazoa; Chordata; Mammalia; Carnivora; Herpestidae
Exons: 3
Source: RefSeq, a predicted model, not a curated record
AUUAACGGGUGUUUUGCAAUUGUGGCUCCGUACAGAUUUGAGAGAUGUGGCACACUCUAGUUCUGCAUUUCAUUGUGGUCGCCUUUAAAAUAAAUCUGGACAUUGACACAGGGAAGAUGACCCAGAGCGGGGAGACUCUUUUGUUGUAAAAUCAUCCUUUUCUCUUACUUCCGGUCUCCUUCACCGCCUGUCUCCAAGGGAAAACCCUGGAGGUUAUUUAUAAAACAAGCAUUAGAAGGCUCAGAAAGGGGAAGAGAAGAAGGCAGACCGACCAGGGAUCUCAGGACCCAAGGAAGGACACGGUGCGUGACUUCCUUUUUGGCCAAAGUGAAGUGAGAAAUUAAGAUGAAGAAGGACUUGAAAUGACAUUUUGGGGCUGGUCCUGCAUCCUUGUUUUUAAAUCAUCCACGUGGCCCACCUGUCUGCCGGUCCCUGGAAGAGGAGGGGUCCCAGGCAGAGUAAAUCAACUCUAGCACACUUGUAACAUGAAGCUGAACCAAUGCACCUGACUGAGAAAGACAUGACCAAAAAGUAAACGUUUAAUUGUUAUAUACCACUGAAAAUCCGAGAUGCGUUCUACCCCAGGAGCCAACUGCUGCGCACACUUGACAUGAGUCUCAUACUGGCAGACACAACAGAAAGUAAGAGCGUAACACUACUAUUUAUAAUGCAUUGGGAGAAAAUGAAUACAAUGUAAAAA